UUGCGUGCGAAUGUGUGAGCAUGUGUGAGUUCCUGCGUGUGUGACUACAGGCGUGCAUGUGUGUGUGUGUGUGUGUGUGUGUGCGCGUUGGAAUGGGGGGGGGGGCGGUCCUGGAAAGGCGGAGAGCCUUGGAAUCUGAGGAGUCUGCAGCCCAUUCUUGAUACUGCUUUACUUUCCAAAAAGUUAUGACAACAAAACCACCCUGGGGCCCAGACCUGGAAGCCGUCAGCUAUGGAGGACCCUGGAAGCAGGCAGAGAAAGGUUUGGAGUUUUCAGUGCGAUGACACCAGCGUGCCUGCGGAAGUGGCUGUGUCUCCUCUUGCCUCCUUCCCCACCCAAUUCCGCCCCAGGAGCCCAGGGAUGGAGGCCCAGGAGACGGAUCCCACAAGAGCCAGCACCCACUCCACGCCAGGAGCUCAGCAAACAUCCACAGAGUGAACGUUCCAAGCAACAUAGUCCAGGAGCCACGUUCCAGCCAUGGGGCCUCUGCGCUGCUGUUCUCUUCACAUGGCCUGCCCUUCCCCCAGAAAGAGAGAAGAGGCCCUCUCUGGUUGUCCCAUCAAAACUCCGCCCUUCUCUCACCCCCCUCCCAGCUGUAUCCCUUCUCUGCAGCCCUAACAUGCAUUCCACUUUAUUUGCCUUGUCUACUGUCUGCCUCCCUAACUACUAAGUCAGCUCCAGCGGCUCCAGGAUUUUUGUCUUUUUAGUUUAGCCCUGGUUCCCCAGGGCCUUAGUGACUAGUGUGUAGUGGCUAGCAGCCAGUAGAUGCUCAAUAACUGCUUGCUGAUUGACUGGGGUGAGCUCCCCAUCCAUGGAGCUAUUUCAAGCCAAGCCUAGAUGAUCUUUCAGGGCUAGUUCUAACCUAAGACUUGGUAGUUCCAUGACUCUCUUCCGGGCCCAGACCAAAAAGGAACUUUCAGCAGGAACCCGGGACUGGGAUCUGAGAUGGGGCUCCUUGGAGGACUCUGACUAGGAAGAGAGACGGGAGGCCGCACCAAAAACACAAGCCCUUCAUGGGUCUCCCAGGUGUAGGUCUGGGGAAUCCCCCAGGCCCCUCAGGAUCGACCCUGCUGGCCCUGGAUCUCCAGGACGCGUCCCUCUGACCUGCCUGCCCGGCCUGUGAGUCCCCGGCAGCAACCGCUGCAGACACAGGCUGCCCAGCGCCAGGGCCAGGCCGGAUUAUCAUACAUUAAGACAUAAUUACUCUGCGGAAAUUUACAAUACAAAGCGCCCUCCCCAAGUUGGCUUCAGAAGGAUUCCAAGGAUACAAAGACCUGCUGUGUCUGCCACCGACCCAAGCUGGCCCCAGCCAGAAUUUCAAAAGAAGUGGGUGGGUUAGUUUUUGGAAAAACCCCAUUCUACCCUCCAGGCAGAAGCCCCGCCCCAAAGGUAGAGCCCUCUGAUACCCCCAAGCCCCACCCAGAGGGGAGGGUCCCCUCCACCCCGACCAGCGUUGCUCCUAAACCACUCGGGUUCCCCAAAGCCCAGAAGCUCCAAGCUGACACCACCAAGGUCACCCCACUUCUCCCAAGUUCUCUCUUUUUAGACUAUUUAGGCCUAAGGGCAGAAAGAACCUUAAAUCCCAAGAUGCUAGCUUUUGACCUGCAGAGAGGUGUGGCAGCCCACUGACACUGAUUAAGCGCCUGCUGUGUGCCUGGUACUGUGUCAGCAUCAGGAUGCCUCAGAGAACAAGACAAACCAGAUCGCUGUGCUGGAGGGAGCUUACAGUCCAGUUGAGGAGACGCAGUAAGAUGCUAAAAAAAAAAAAAAAAAAUGCACAUCAGGUGUGCAGGAUGGGUGAGUGACCGGGGUGCACGGUGGCCAGAGAGCCUCAAAGGUGGCAUCUGAGCAGAGGCCUGAAUGAGCAAGAAAGACUAGCCUGUGCAAAGGCCCUGAGGUGGGGCCAUGUGAGGUGAGGGUGAGCGGGGGCAGAGCACAGGAGUGCUGCACAGAAUGCUGGCUUUUACUCUCAAGAGGGUUUCCAGCAGGGAAGCUGCCUGAUUCAGGGGACACUUGGCCUGCUGUUCUGUUAGAUUCCUGCAUCUACCACCUCCUGGCCCUGGGAUGCUAGGCAAGUCAGUUAGCCCUUUAAGCUUUUGUUCCUCCCUGCAAAAUAAAAACAGUAACCACAGCUAACACACACUUGUUGCACAGAACAAGACAGAGAAAAUCGGGAAAGGG
Gorilla gorilla gorilla (western lowland gorilla) is the source of this 2181-nucleotide long non-coding RNA. RefSeq lists it as uncharacterized. NCBI's taxonomy places the organism in Eukaryota, Metazoa, Chordata, Mammalia, Primates, Hominidae. The transcript has 3 exons. The record is from RefSeq and is a predicted model, not a curated record.